AUUGAACGCUGGCGGCAGGCCUAACACAUGCAAGUCGAGCGGAUGAAGGGAGCUUGCUCCUGGAUUCAGCGGCGGACGGGUGAGUAAUGCCUAGGAAUCUGCCUGGUAGUGGGGGAUAACGUCCGGAAACGGGCGCUAAUACCGCAUACGUCCUGAGGGAGAAAGUGGGGGAUCUUCGGACCUCACGCUAUCAGAUGAGCCUAGGUCGGAUUAGCUAGUUGGUGGGGUAAAGGCCUACCAAGGCGACGAUCCGUAACUGGUCUGAGAGGAUGAUCAGUCACACUGGAACUGAGACACGGUCCAGACUCCUACGGGAGGCAGCAGCGGGGAAUAUUGGACAAUGGGCGAAAGCCUGAUCCAGCCAUGCCGCGUGUGUGAAGAAGGUCUUCGGAUUGUAAAGCACUUUAAGUUGGGAGGAAGGGCAGUAAGUUAAUACCGUGCUGUUUUGACGUUACCAACAGAAUAAGCACCGGCUAACUUCGUG
This 484-nucleotide ribosomal RNA is filed under the name uncultured bacterium. RNAcentral's name for it is "partial 16S ribosomal RNA". It matches the Rfam family "Bacterial small subunit ribosomal RNA", at positions 30 to 507 of the family's 1533-position model. The record is from RNAcentral.